RNAcentral lists this transfer RNA (73 nucleotides) under Cyrtopodion fortmunroi (Fort Munro sandstone gecko). Its description in RNAcentral is "tRNA-Asn". Lineage: Eukaryota; Metazoa; Chordata; Lepidosauria; Squamata; Gekkonidae. The record is from RNAcentral.
UAGGUUAAAGCCCGCUGGAUAGGGUGUUUAGUUGUUAAUUAAAGUUUUACGGGAUCGAGGCCCGUUAGCCUAG